Molecule: ribosomal RNA, 460 nt
Filed under: uncultured bacterium
Lineage: Bacteria
Description: partial 16S ribosomal RNA
Rfam family: Bacterial small subunit ribosomal RNA
Source: RNAcentral
CCUACGGGAGGCAGCAGUGAGGAAUAUUGGUCAAUGGACGAGAGUCUGAACCAGCCAAGUAGCGUGAAGGAUGACUGCCCUAUGGGUUGUAAACUUCUUUUAUAUGGGAAUAAAACGUUCCACGUGUGGGAUUUUGUAUGUACCAUAUGAAUAAGGAUCGGCUAACUCCGCGCCAGCAGCCGCGGUAAUACGGAGGAUCCGAGCGUUAUCCGGAUUUAUUGGGUUUAAAGGGAGCGUAGGUGGAUUGUUAAGUCAGUUGUGAAAGUUUGCGGCUCAACCGUAAAAUUGCAGUUGAAACUGGCAGUCUUGAGUACAGUAGAGGUGGGCGGAAUUCGUGGUGUAGCGGUGAAAUGCUUAGAUAUCACGAAGAACUCCGAUUGCGAAGGCAGUUCACUGGACUGCAACUGACACUGAGGCUCGAAAGUGUGGGUAUCAAACAGGAUUAGAUACCCCUGUAGUC